Transfer RNA from Volvox carteri f. nagariensis, 72 nucleotides. It matches the Rfam family "tRNA". Rfam says of the family: Transfer RNA (tRNA) molecules are approximately 80 nucleotides in length. Their secondary structure includes four short double-helical elements and three loops (D, anti-codon, and T loops). Further hydrogen bonds mediate the characteristic L-shaped molecular structure. tRNAs have two regions of fundamental functional importance: the anti-codon, which is responsible for specific mRNA codon recognition, and the 3' end, to which the tRNAs corresponding amino acid is attached (by aminoacyl-tRNA synthetases). tRNAs cope with the degeneracy of the genetic code in two manners: having more than one tRNA (with a specific anti-codon) for a particular amino acid; and 'wobble' base-pairing, i.e. permitting non-standard base-pairing at the 3rd anti-codon position. Lineage: Eukaryota; Viridiplantae; Chlorophyta; Chlorophyceae; Chlamydomonadales; Volvocaceae. The record is from Rfam.
GGGGCUUUAGCUCAGUGGUAGAGCGCGCGCUUUGCAUGCGUGAGGCCACCGGUUCAAACCCGGUAAGCUCCA